AGCGAACGCUGGCGGCAGGCUUAACACAUGCAAGUCGAGCGGGCGUAGCAAUACGUCAGCGGCAGACGGGUGAGUAACACGUGGGAACGUACCUUUUGGUUCGGAACAACACAGGGAAACUUGUGCUAAUACCGAAUAAGCCCUUACGGGGAAAGAUUUAUCGCCGAAAGAUCGGCCCGCGUCUGAUUAGCUUGUUGGUGAGGUAACGGCUCACCAAGGCGACGAUCAGUAGCUGGUCNGAGAGGAUGAUCAGCCACACUGGGACUGAGACACGGCCCAGACUCCUACGGGAGGCAGCAGUGGGGAAUAUUGGACAAUGGGGGCAACCCUGAUCCAGCCAUGCCGCGUGAGUGAUGAAGGCCCUAGGGUUGUAAAGCUCUUUUGUGCGGGAAGAUAAUGACGGUACCGCAAGAAUAAGCCCCGGCUAACUUCGU
RNAcentral lists this ribosomal RNA (434 nucleotides) under uncultured bacterium. Its description in RNAcentral is "bacterial SSU rRNA". It matches the Rfam family "Bacterial small subunit ribosomal RNA", at positions 29 to 506 of the family's 1533-position model. The record is from RNAcentral.